RNAcentral lists this ribosomal RNA (253 nucleotides) under uncultured bacterium. Its description in RNAcentral is "partial 16S ribosomal RNA". It matches the Rfam family "Bacterial small subunit ribosomal RNA", at positions 524 to 776 of the family's 1533-position model. The record is from RNAcentral.
UACGUAGGGGGCAAGCGUUGUCCGGAUUUAUUGGGCGUAAAGAGCGUGUAGGCGGCCAUGUAGGUCCGUUGUGAAAACUCGAGGCUCAACCUCGAGACGCCGAUGGAAACCAUGUGGCUAGAGUCCGGAAGAGGAGAGUGGAAUUCCUGGUGUAGCGGUGAAAUGCGCAGAUAUCAGGAAGAACACCCGUGGCUAAGGCGGCUCUCUAGGCCGGAACUGACGCUGAGGAGCGAAAGCGUGGGGAGCGAACAGG